Molecule: non-coding RNA, 277 nt
Organism: Meleagris gallopavo (turkey)
Lineage: Eukaryota; Metazoa; Chordata; Aves; Galliformes; Phasianidae
Source: RefSeq, a predicted model, not a curated record
AUGUACAGUAAAGAAUUCAAGACUGACCAAGUGGGUGAAGAAUUCCACCAAAGAGUCAGAUAACACUAAUUCAUAAGGAGUUACACCCCAGCUUGACAAACACUGUGCAGCGGAGUGCAGCAGCGGGGGAGCGCCCUGGCUUUCCUCCAAGAUGUGACUGUGGGACCUUUCAGAUGAUAUAAGCUGAGGAGAAGACAGAAAGCGUGAAGAAAAUCAGCCUGGCAGGACUUGUGCUGGUUUUGGGGGAGGAACUAUCUGUCCCAAUUUCUGAAGCAGC